UGAGGAAUAUUGGUCAAUGGUCGCAAGACUGAACCAGCCAUGCCGCGUGCAGGAUGACGGUCCUAUGGAUUGUAAACUGCUUUUGUACGGGAAGAAACACUCCUACGUGUAGGGGCUUGACUGUACCGUAAGAAUAAGGAUCGGCUAACUCCGUGCCAGCAGCCGCGGUAAUACGGAGGAUCCGAGCGGUAUCCGGAAUCAUUGGGUUUUAAAGGUCCGUAGGCGGCCCUGUAAGUCAGCGGUGAAAUCUCCCGGCUCAACCGGGAAACUUCCGUUGUUACUGCAGGGAUUUAAUUGCCGGGAAGGAAAUAGAAUAUGUAGUGUAACGGUGAAAUUCUUAGAUAUUACAUGGAAUACCGAUUGCGGAGGCAGGUUAC
RNAcentral lists this ribosomal RNA (377 nucleotides) under uncultured bacterium. Its description in RNAcentral is "bacterial SSU rRNA". It matches the Rfam family "Bacterial small subunit ribosomal RNA", at positions 355 to 729 of the family's 1533-position model. The record is from RNAcentral.